This 967-nucleotide long non-coding RNA is filed under the name Drosophila melanogaster (fruit fly). Its description in RNAcentral is "antisense RNA:CR45806 (Dmel_CR45806)". Lineage: Eukaryota; Metazoa; Arthropoda; Insecta; Diptera; Drosophilidae. The record is from RNAcentral.
AUUUGUUGUAUUUGUAAAAAUAAAAGAGUUGUGAGGAAUUUCCCACGAUGACAACUCACGCAUUCUUGGCGCACCGAAAACCCAGGUUACCGGCUGAACUGUCUUCUGUGUUCUGCGAGCGUGCCGCGCACCUGUACCUGUAGCAGUAGGACUUGUGACACAGAUAAGAACCGCCCUUCUUGACCCGAUUUGGAUUAUCGCUAACGUCAUUUACGUCCCACAGAUCUGCCGUCCACUCCCAGACGUUGCCCACCAUGUUGUGCAGGUCGUAAAUAUUCUGUCGGAAGGCAUCCACGGGGCUGGUGUACUCAAACCCAUCUUCAGCCAGGUUGCCAUCGGGAAAGUCUCCCUGCCAGAUGUUCAGCCAAUGUUCAUUCCUUGGCAUCAGCUUGUUGCCCCAGGGAAACAGUUUGCGCUCCUUGCCGCCCCUGCAAGCCGCCUCCCACUCCGCCUCGCUGGGCAACCGCUUGCCGGCCCACUUACAGUACUCCACAGCGUCGCGCCACGAUACGUGCACUACCGGGUGUCGGCCUAAGUGGUCUAUAUCGCUGUCCACGCCAUUUGGAUGUCGCCAGUUCACGCCGGCCACUUUGUACCACCAGACAGCGCUCGCCACUCGGAAGUCCUCUAGGUUCUUCUGCUCCAAUGGGCUCAAAAGGCUCUUAAACAGAAAACUGUCGCCAUAUCGCUCAGCCUCCGUGGUGUAGUUAGUGUGCAGAACAAACUUCGCAAAGGCUUCGUUGGAAACCUCAUACUUGUCGAUGUAGAAGUCAUUCAGCUUCACCUGCCGUUCCGGAGCCUCGCGGUCGGCCGGAAAGUGCGGUUUGUCAGUACCCAUGUAAACCGUGCCUCCCGGAAGCAGUGACAUGUCCGCAAUAUUUGGCUCCAGUUCGCCAUAGUAAUCCCGGUAGUGGCUGUGUGCACCCUGUGCUCGUUGCUGGCACACUUGUCCGGAAAUGGACGGCAU